RNAcentral lists this ribosomal RNA (650 nucleotides) under Cristarma eulimene. RNAcentral describes it as "Chiromantes eulimene partial large subunit ribosomal RNA". It matches the Rfam family "Bacterial large subunit ribosomal RNA", at positions 1831 to 2776 of the family's 2925-position model. The record is from RNAcentral. Lineage: Eukaryota; Metazoa; Arthropoda; Malacostraca; Decapoda; Sesarmidae.
GUCUGUUUGGAGGUAUAAAAAGUCUAGCCUGCCCACUGAUAAAUAUUUAAAGGGCCGCGGUAUCUUGACUGUGCAAAGGUAGCAUAAUCGUUAGUUUUUUAAUUGAAAUCUUGUAUGAAUGGUUUGACAAAAAAAAAUCUGUCUCUAUAAUUAUUUAUUGAAUUUAACUUUUAAGUGAAAAGGCUUAAAUAAAUUAAAAAGACGAUAAGACCCUAUAAAACUUAAUAUUAUAUUUUUUAUUUGAUUAAAUUUUAAAUAAUAUAAAAAUUUAAUAAUUGAUAUUUAUUUUAUUGGGGCGAUAAUGGUAAAAUUUUUGUUAACUGUUAUUUUUUUUCAGACAAAAAUAAAUGAAUAAUAAUUAUUUAAAUGAUCCUAUGUUAUAGAUUAAAAGUUUAAGUUACUUUAGGGAUAACAGCGUUAUUUUUUUUGAGAGUUCUUAUCGAGAAAAAAGUUUGCGACCUCGAUGUUGAAUUAAAAUAUCUAUAUAAUUGUAGCAGUUAUAUAAGAAGGUCUGUUCGACCUUUAAAAUUUUACAUGAUUUGAGUUCAGACCGGCGUAAGCCAGGUCGGUUUCUAUCUUUUAAUAUUAAAAAAUUAUUUUAGUACGAAAGGAUUAAAUAAUUAAAAUUAUUUUAAAAUGAUUGAAUGAAG